AUGGCACUGGGCAGCCCAGCUGCUGAACACCACCAUGAGAGGCGAGCAGCCCUGCCUCCUGCAGCUCCUCAGCCCCACGGGCAGAGCCCCCCAGGCUGCUGCUCAGCCCACCCAGAGCGAGGGCAGAGCGCGGGGCCGUGCCAGCAGGCAGUGCCCUGCCUUAGCACCGCAGCCCCAGAGCCAACAAACCUCGUGCUGCCGGCAGUGCCUGCUACAAAAGCUCCUUUGUUCCUGCCACGCGAGCCCAGCCCAGGCUGCUGCCCGGACACACCGCCUGCAUUGUGCCCUCCUGACACAGGAGGCUGGCUGGGCGCGGGGGCUGCUCUCUGGCUGCUGCUGGGGCUCGCUCACAGGGGGUGCCGGGGGGCUGAGCCCAGGCAGGCAGCGAGCACCAGCGCUGCAGGGCCUCUGUCAGCAGCAGCAACACAAGCCUCCCUCGGGGCUCUGCUGACCCGAAGCCCUUGUCACAGGCACGCAGAGCUCCUCUGCCCCCCGGCUGGCCACACUCACCUGCCACUGCCCCGCCACGGCACGGGCAGAGCUAGGGGGGUGCUGAGCAGAGGGCACAAAGGGGGUGUUUCUAAAGCACAAUCCCCGCUUGCCCAUGCUCCUUCAGGUUGCUCCAUCAUGCACGGGCACGGAGACCUGUCUCAGGCAGGAAGGAGGAAAACAGGACCAGUGAGCUGCCAUCCCCACAGCGACACUGCAGGAUCUGCUUCCAGCCCCGGCUCCCACCCAGUGCAAGAGGGGCAGGAGGGGAAGGGGAAGGCUUUUGCUGGAUCCCAAGAAGGGUUAAAUUCCCUCUAUUCAGCAAUGGUGGGAGGGAAUUUAUCUCCAGGCAGGAGCCUUGAUACCACCUGGGAUGAAGCCAAGAGAAAAGCAAAUUCCUCCAGUGAACUUAUCCCCCUCCAGUGCUGCCUACCCAGCCACAGGGAGUUUCCUCUGCAGCCACGCAGCCACAGAGACACAGCACUGUUUUUAUUUUCCCAGCCGCAGUCUGCCACAGCCCAGCAUCUCUUCGUUGGAGCCGGAGCCAGCAGACAACUAGGCUUAAGGGGAAGCGGCUGGACUCCCCCGCAGGCCUGGCGAGCCAGCGCUCCGAGGCUGCUGUUCCUGGAGCACACUGGUCCCUCGCUGCAGGAGGAGCUGUGCUUGGCAGGGCAGCCCCAGCAGCCGGGGUGGAGCUGGCCUGGCCUCGCCGGACACCGGCGCGGUCCAAGGACUUCAGGCUCCAACUGUGCAAGAGAAAAUCCCGGCUGUCUCAGGGGAGCAGACGUCAGGGCAGGACGAAGAAGGGCCCUUUACCAUGUCAGGAAGGAGAAUCCUGUUGUAGUCUCCACAAGCAGUGGCUGCCUGUGCUCUCCUCAGCUCCCCAGCACCGCCUGGGACCUGGUGGUGACCGCUCAGCUGGCUGCCCCCACCCCGUGCUCUGCAGGACGGGGCCAAGCUCUUCACCAGGAGCUGCCCUGA
This 1470-nucleotide long non-coding RNA is filed under the name Anas platyrhynchos (mallard). RNAcentral describes it as "lncRNA (ENSAPLG00020004488.1)". The record is from RNAcentral. Lineage: Eukaryota; Metazoa; Chordata; Aves; Anseriformes; Anatidae.